UAAACGGACCAAACUUCAGCCAGGAGAACAACUGAGAUAAUCCAUCCACAAUACGCGAAGUUGACCACGCUGCAGCUGUCAGCCAGCGACCAGGACAGCGAGCCGGGCGAGCGAAACUAAACCAAACCCAACUUUUCCCACCGCUUUCAGACCCUGAUUUCACCUGGCAACCACCA
Molecule: long non-coding RNA, 176 nt
Organism: Oreochromis niloticus (Nile tilapia)
Lineage: Eukaryota; Metazoa; Chordata; Actinopteri; Cichliformes; Cichlidae
Exons: 3
Source: RefSeq, a predicted model, not a curated record